GGAGUUAACUCUUAGUUUGUUGUUUCCUUUCCUAGGUUGAUAUGUUUUCGAUUUCACAUACAAGAUGUUACUCGUGGACUGGACCAGGGUCUAGGGGGAAGAAUCUGAUUAUAUCCAAGUGAUGCUCCUUCAGUCACAGAAAUUUAAUUCUGGCAUGGUUUGUGAUUUUUUGUGUUCAGAUUGAUAUCUUGAAAUGAUUGCAGAGAGAAGCAUUCUCGGAUUUGAUGAAACUUAGAGAUAAACAAGAGAAAGUGGAGCGGGUUUUAUGAAACUUAGAGAUCCAUCUUCUGUUGCAGAUAUUAAUGAUUGGUUGUUUGUUGUUGUUAUUCCUGUUGGUGCAUAGGUACAAUCAUCUCUAACCUCGCAGAUGUGGUUCUUUCGUCUCUCUACAACAACAAAGCCAAGAAUGUGUUGCAGGCUGUGAGGAACAUUGG
Camelina sativa (false flax) is the source of this 434-nucleotide non-coding RNA. The record is from RefSeq and is a predicted model, not a curated record. Lineage: Eukaryota; Viridiplantae; Streptophyta; Magnoliopsida; Brassicales; Brassicaceae.